UAUAUCUAUUUUGAAAGGAUAAAUUAAAUUCAAAAAACAACCUAACUAACAAACUUAGUCAAUUAGAAUCAUUGCCACUGCUUCCCUCAUUCUUGCCAUCAUCCGCAACUCUAACUAGUUUGUCAAGUUGAGCCUUGAUCUCUUUUAGUAACUUAUCCCUCCCAUUUGAUGGUGGUGGUUCUUCGUCCAAAACAUUGCUUUGGGAUCCUUCGUCAGCAUGCAAAAAAUCUUGAAUGCCUUGUAGGCAUAUUGAACUACCGUAAUCUGAAUGACUAUUGUUGAUAUGAUUUUCAAAUACUUGUUUAACCCUCUAUCCUCUAUUUCAGCAAUCUCUUUGCCCUUCUUCUUAGCUUAAGCCCCCAACUGCAGAAUGCCUUCACUGGAUAGUCAAAAAAAACCACCAACAGGUUCUUCAAUGGCCAAUGGUAAGGAAUGGUGUACUUCUAAACCUUCAUAUCCACUGUACUUUCAUUUUCUUUUGAUUCAACAAUAGUUAUGGACCCACUCUUCAACAGUUCAUUGGCUAUGAUUCUCGGAUCAAAACUUUCAAAACAGAAAACACUUAUCAAAAACAAAAACAAAGAAUCAACAAUAAUAAUAGGAUAAAUGAACUACUGAAGAAAAUACUGGAACUAAUGGAAAAAUUUACCUAUAAUAAUAAAGUAAUUUUUUUGUACCUUUCUGUUGUUCUAAGUUCAAUUUCACCUUCCAUCCUUUUAGCUUAAUAAAAGCACUGAGCACUCCCUCCCUUGCCAUUUUUCUACACAAAAACAGAAAAAAAAAAUUAAAAAAUAUAAAAGAUAUAAGCAAUCAUAAAGACCCUGAAACCAACGAACAAACCCAUUUUGUAGAGUUAUACAUACAUAUAUAAAGAUAGAGCAAGAAAAAAUUACAUAGAAAUAAGGUUCUAACAAUACACUCCAAAUCUACAUACAUGCAUAUAUAUAUAGAGAGAGAGAGACAUACAUAUAUAUAGGCUUCGUUUGGGAUGUGGGUUAGCCUGGGGGCUAAAGAGAUUUUUUUCUUUUUGUGGUUAAAGUGGCCCCAACCUAACCCAAACCUUCAUCCCAAACGACUAUAUAGAGAGAGAUCAAAAAAGCAAAAUAAAGAGAAAUUUGAACCAAGAAAUGAAGACGAGAAUUUUUGGAUUUGAUUGGAACUAGGUUUCGUGGGUUUGAGCAAGAAAAAAUAAUGAGUUGGUCGGUUUCUAUGUCUUGGACUCGUUAUUUUUUCUUGUUGAAACCCACAGAACAGAGCUUAAAUCAAACCCAGAAAUUCACAUCUUGAUUUCCUGGUUCUAAUUUCUCUUCAUUUUGCUUUUUUUGAUCUCUCUCUAUGUAGUCGUUUGGGGGUUAUUUUAACCACAAAAAGACAAAAUAGUCUUUUUAGCCCCCAGGCUAACCCACAUCCCAAAAGAAGCGUAUAUAUGUAUAUCUCUCUAUAUAUAUAUGUAUGUCUCUCUCUUUAUAUAUAUGCAUGUAUGUAGAUUUGUAGUGUAUUGUUAGAACCUUGUUUCUGCGUAAUUUUUUCUUGCUCUGUCUCUGUAUAUAUGUAUUACUCGAAAUGUACAAAAUGGGUUCGUUGUUCGGUUUAUGAGUUUUUGAUUGCUUAUAUAUUUCAUAUUUGUUUUUGUUUUUCUGUUUUUUGUGUAGGAAAACGACAAGGGAGGGAGUGCGCGGUGCUUUUGAGUAUGUGCUAAAAGGGCGUAACGUGCAAUUGGAUGCUGAUCAACGGAAAGGUUUUGAUUCGAAAAUCGUAGCCGAUGAACUGCUUAUGAGAUGGUCCAUAACUAUUGUUGAAUCAAAAGAAGAUGAAAGCACAGUGGAUAUGGAGGUUCAGAAGUACACCAUUCCGUACCGUUGGCCAUUGAACCUGUUGGUAGUUUUUCGACUAUCCAGUUAAGACAUUAUGCAGUUGGGGGAUCAAGCUGAGAAGAAGGGCAAAGAGAUUGCGGAAAUAGAGGAGGAUAGAGGGUUGAACAAGUAUUUGAAAAUCAUAUCAACAAUAGUCAUUCAGAUUACGGAAGUUGAGUAUGCCUACAAGGCAUUCGGGAUUAUUCGCAUGCUGAGGAAGUAUCCCAAAGAGGUGUUUUGGGCGAAGAACCACCACCAUCAAAUGGGAGGGAUAAGUUACUAAAAGAGAUCAAGGCUCAACUUGACAAACUAGUUAUAACUGCGGAAGACGACAAGAAUAGGGGAAGCAGUGACAAUGAUUCUGAUUUACUGAGUUGUUAGUUAGGUUUUUUUUUUUUUUUUGGAAAGAAGUUGUUAGUUAGGUUUUGUUUUUUGAAUUUAAUUUAUCCUCUCAAUAUAUAUAUAUCCCCAUACAAUAUAUAGUGAGCAGUAUUUUUAGACUUGGGAUGAACAGUAAUUCCUCACUUGUGUGAAAGUCGAUUUAGCCUAUUGUUUUGGUUAAGAAUUGUCUACUUGUACAGGGUAAUUUUGGGAAUUAAAGAUAUAUUUAUGGGAUUCUAGAUGUUGCGGUUUA
Molecule: non-coding RNA, 2487 nt
Organism: Camellia sinensis
Lineage: Eukaryota; Viridiplantae; Streptophyta; Magnoliopsida; Ericales; Theaceae
Source: RefSeq, a predicted model, not a curated record